This is a long non-coding RNA of Cavia porcellus (domestic guinea pig), 2240 nucleotides long. RefSeq lists it as uncharacterized. The record is from RefSeq and is a predicted model, not a curated record. The transcript is spliced from 3 exons. Lineage: Eukaryota; Metazoa; Chordata; Mammalia; Rodentia; Caviidae.
ACAAUUGAAGUGUGUUCCCAGCCCGGUACAAAGUUCCACCCCUGUGGGCUGUGAGAAACGCACUUAGAGUCUGAAAGACUGAAAGCACACGUUACUUUCUAGCUACAGUGGAGAGGUGAGGACCGCAGCCCCUGGGCAUGAAGAGAGGCAGCGGCAUCUUCUUCUCCUGUGCUGUUUCCAUGGCAAUGCGGGGCUUGUUUUACAACCUCUCUCCCAGAGGCGAUGAGGCCAAGCCUGUGACCUCACAGUGGUUUCAGAUGUUUGCAGGAAGGGCGAUCACACAAAAGGUGUGCUUGGGGAAAACCUGGCACACUUAUGGCACCUGUGGGUCUUCUUAGGCUUCUACUUGGAUCUAGGUGCAGUCUUGUUAGGAAUAAAGGGAAACACAGGAAAUCGUCCCACUCAUUCCUCACUCCCUCUGGCUGCUGUGGAGCUCAGGUGUAUUACAGGAAGCUGCCACACUGUGAGGCACCACAGCAGCCUCCGGAGAAGAAAUGAGUUCCUGGUCACAGCGUGGUCUGGAGGCAGCCUGUGGAAAGCUGGCUCUGUGGGACUGUCACCUGGAGGGGUCACUUGCCUCAUGUCACUCAUCAGUUCUCCCAGCAGCAGAGCAAUGAGCUCUGCCCAAAGAGAAGACUCAGGAGCAGGGAGAGCAGUGUGAGAGCAGCCCUGGGAGGUGAUAUGCAACAAGUUUGCAAGAAAAAUGACAGUGCUUCUUGACUAGAACAAGGAAGCAAAGAGGUCCUGCAGACAGGCAGCUUUGGCCCCAGUAGGGGAGGAUGCAUCGGAGAGGACACGGUGAGGACUUGGUGGCCGCAGGUGACCUGAGCCAUGCGGAGGCUGAGAGCUACGGAGUUUCUCUGCACCUAGACCCACACCCAGCCUCUGCAAUUUUCCCACUGAAUCUCGACUUGCAUAACCCAGCUCCACGCUUCCUCUGCUCUUGAAUUUUAUUUGUCUUGCAUACCGAGUGCAGCACUGUGGUACUGCCAUCUGGAGAGACAGCAUUAGCAAUGGCCACAGACCAGCCUUACUAAAAGCAGCUGAAAAGUGAAGAUAUUGGGCCACUGUGCAAAGGUCCGCAGGUGAUCAUGACACGGCCUGGCUAAGGGAAAGUCUUCAUCCUUCCUAUUGGGUCAAAAAGAGAGUCUGCUUCAGUGCUACACAGUUCCAGCUCAGCAGGGUGCUCAUCUUCCUGCCUAUUGACCUGGCCACUUUCUGACCAAGGAAAUUCAGCUUAAAAGGUCGUGCUCCUGUUCUAUGUAAGGCACAAUAAGGAUUGGAGAAUUCACUUUGAUGAUCUUCGGUAAUGGAUACUGGUAAGCCACUCUGCACAACCUCACUGCAAUAAAGAGCUCAUCCAAGAUUAUUUCGAGAGUGAAGGAGAAACCAACACUGAUUUUUCAGAACUAAGGCUGGGUGAGACAGUGCAGAGGGUUAAACCGCUCAGCAUGCAGAUGAGUUGAUUCUGCAUGAAGAAUGAGAUGAUCUCUUUACUUUUCUCUGGUUCAUCACAAGAACAUCCUUUUCCACUUGGCUGACAAGGACCAGUGGCUGUGUGAAGCCCGCUGCGGCCACUCAUUUCCCACAAGCAGGGGCUCACCUGCUCCCCAAAGCCUUCACGCUCUAAGGUACAAGUGUCUAAGGACACCAGUGAGGAGCAUGAUUUCAGUUAUGUUUUUCCUCAUUCACACUGGAAUUUCUGGAUAUUUUCCCCUCCUUCAAGUAGAAAAGGGAACAAGUUCAGUGAUUGAAAAAUAUUCGGUUCCUUUGAAAAUUCAUGUAAUAGAGCACAUUACAUUCUUUAAGUUCUCCAACUACUGUCCAAUACAGGGGUGCUCUUUACUAUCACAUAUGAUUUUAUUAUAUUCCCUGAACUGAAGGGUUACACUGAAGAAGAUAGUUACAUCUCUCUAUGCCUGUUAGUUUAUAUCUGUAUCUACCUAUCUACAUGUUAAUUUACUAAAACACAUGUAACAUAGUUUAAUAUAAACUAUAGAUAAACAGUACAUAGAUUGGGGAAAUGAAAUCUAUUAAUUCAUAUGUAAUUUACUAUAUUAGUAGCUAACCAAUGUAUGGCACAUAUCAAUUUAUUAAUUUAAUAUGCUAUGUCUAUAGCAAUAUCUAUAAUUUGAUAGAUUAGAUGUAUGGAUCUAAUCUACGGAAGAGACAGCUCGAUGGAUGAAUAUAUAGUAUAUGCACAAACAUACCUACACAGAAGCUGAAAUAAAAAAUUCUAC